This is an RNA transcript of Triticum dicoccoides, 2253 nucleotides long. It is a transcript of the gene named microtubule-associated protein 70-4-like, with no coding region annotated. NCBI's taxonomy places the organism in Eukaryota, Viridiplantae, Streptophyta, Magnoliopsida, Poales, Poaceae. The transcript has 10 exons. The record is from RefSeq and is a predicted model, not a curated record.
CACCCACUACUCUUCGUGUGCAGCAACGCUUCCGUGUCUUCCCCGUUUAACCCUUUCUUUCUCCCCGGCCGGCAGUACGUAGGCCGAGAAACUGCUAGCCUCUCCGUAGCUAGCCUUGCUAGCUAGGUGUGUGUGUGUGUGUACGUACCUACCUGCAGGUUCCAAGAGAGAGGGCCGAGAGAGAGAGACAUGGGUAGCUUGGGAUCCGAGGUCGACCAUGGCGGCAGGGAGAUGUUCCAUGGCCACGCCGACCCCGUCGUCGACGAGCUCAACAGGCUGGAGAAUCUCCUCAGAGAAAAGGAACGAGAACUAGGACACACACACAGUGAAAUAAAAGGUUUGAAGGUGACAGAAGCUCUGAAGGACAAGGCCAUUGCUGAGCUGAGCAAGGAGCUGAAGAAACAGGACGAGAAGCUGAGCAUCCUGGAGAAGCAGCUUGAACAGAAGAAUCUGGAUGUGAAAAGGUUAUGCAAUGAGCGCAAGGAAGCGUUGUCUGCACAGUUCGCUGCUGAGGCAUCGCUCAGGAGGAUCCACUCGGCCCAGAGAGAUGAGGAAGUGGUUCCCUUUGAUGCCAUCAUAGGGCCCCUGGAGUCUGACAUCAAGAAGUACAAGCAUGAGAUUGCGGUGCUCCAGGAUGACAAAAAGGCGCUUGAACGGCACCUGAAGCUCAAUGAGGCGGCGUUCGUUGAGGCUGGGGACAUUCUGCGUAGCGCACUCGAGAGAGCGCUGAUUGUAGAGGAUGUCCAGAACCAGAAUAUUGAGCUGAAGAAACAGAUGGAGAUCUACCACGAGGAGAACAUGCUUUUGGAGAAGAGCAACAGGCAGAAGGUCCUGGAAAUUGAGAAGCUCACCCACACCGUUGGUGAGCUUGAGGAGUCCAUUCUUGCCAGCAGAGACGUUGCCAACGCUGUGCACUUCUACCAGAACCAGACUACCAGAUUGAAUGAGGAGAAGAAGACGCUCGAGAGGGAGCUGGCUCGAGCUAAAGUCUACGUCAACCGUGUGGCGACAACAACAGCAAACGAAUGGAAGGACGAUGCUGAUAAAUUGAUGCCGGUUAAGAGGUGGCUGGAAGAACGAAGACUCCUGCAGGGAGAGAUACAACGGCUGCGCGACAAGAUAGCCAUAGCAGAGAGGUCUGCAAAGGUGGAAGCCCAACUUAAUGAUAAACUCAAAAGGAGACUGAAAUCUUUGGAAGAGGACAUGAGAAAUGGAAAGCCCAACACACCUGCCAGUGAUGCCAAUAGGAGAGGCACUCCGAAAAGAUCAACAUCUCAACCAAGACAGCCAAGCACACCCAGAAUGUCACAGCAACUGGCUUCAUUCGAAGGCAUUGUUGACAAGAGAAGACCAACAUCCCAACCAAGGGCGGCUGUGGGAGGGAAGGUGCUGAAGCAACCUAAUUCGGACACCGAGCCUGCAGAGAAGACGAGAAACAUUAAACAACCUGACAGCCCAAGAGUGAGAACUGCUGCUGCUAGAAAGGAGCGUCCUGUGAGAAAUCACCUGUGGGCGACAAGAAGUAAAGUGACCAGCGAUGCUGGCAAAGAGAACAAGGAGCAGAAUCCAAAUUACAAGCCACAUUCAAGCGCUCCACAUGAGCAGGGACAUGAUGCCACAAAGCCACAAGCUGUAGUAUUUGAUGCGAAUGGAGACUGUGGAGUUCAGCGCAGUGAACAUCACAAAGACAUGGAUUUGGAGAACUUGGAUGACAAAAAGGCGGAUGCUUCGAAUGCAGAGAGUACUCAGGGUGGCAACAGGGGAAACUAAGGAAUUUCGUUUGCAAGAGGAAGCCAAAUACAAGGGUGAAAACAGUUAUCAUGUACUGGUGCAACAUGGUAAUUUAUUUCUAAGAACAUGUAUGCCUCUCUGCAAUAUUCUUCAACUUGGGAGAUUGUUUGAACAACAAAACCAGCAGGCUAUGUUGUUCCGUUUCUUUAUUCUCGCUUGUACAGCAAAGCAAUUUGUGCCUAUAAAAAAAUACAAAUGCAGUUUGUGGUGUUUUGAGGAAAGGCUGUUUAAAAUAAGAAGGUUGGUGCUGAUGUAAUGGGACUGGGAACAAUACAAAAAGAAGGGAUGUUUGUGUCUCUACUUUGAUUUGAAUCUAUGUUCUAUAACUACUAUGGUUGUUUCCAUUUUCCGUCCCUUUAUUCAUGUAAAAGAUCAGUCCAUCACUGUCCCUUAUGACGCUGGAUUUGAAUGUAUAUUGUAGAUUUGUAGUCAGAGAUUCUUGUGGAAUUUCUCUGUUUCAUA